GGAGAGGUGCCGGAGAUGGCUGAACGGGGCGGCCUGCUAAGCCGUUGUAGGGUGUAUAACUCUACCGAGGGUUCGAAUCCCUCCCUCUCCG
RNAcentral lists this transfer RNA (91 nucleotides) under bacterium. RNAcentral's name for it is "tRNA-Ser". It matches the Rfam family "tRNA". From Rfam's summary of the family: Transfer RNA (tRNA) molecules are approximately 80 nucleotides in length. Their secondary structure includes four short double-helical elements and three loops (D, anti-codon, and T loops). Further hydrogen bonds mediate the characteristic L-shaped molecular structure. tRNAs have two regions of fundamental functional importance: the anti-codon, which is responsible for specific mRNA codon recognition, and the 3' end, to which the tRNAs corresponding amino acid is attached (by aminoacyl-tRNA synthetases). tRNAs cope with the degeneracy of the genetic code in two manners: having more than one tRNA (with a specific anti-codon) for a particular amino acid; and 'wobble' base-pairing, i.e. permitting non-standard base-pairing at the 3rd anti-codon position. RNAcentral also lists the same sequence under 4 other names. The record is from RNAcentral.